GUUUUAAUUUAAUAUGUUCAUACGAGAAACAAGGAACAUUAUUCUCAUACAAAAAAUUAAGAUAAUUCUAAAUACACAUUCAUAAAAAAAUGGAAUUUAUUACAAAGGAUAAUCAUAAGAUAUAUUUGAAUUGUCCUGGACCUCACUUCUGUGAUGGGUAAAUGUUAAUGGAAUCCUUCUCUGAAUACGGGACAAACAUAUUAGUAGUGGUAGACCCC
RNAcentral lists this long non-coding RNA (218 nucleotides) under Mytilus galloprovincialis (Mediterranean mussel). Lineage: Eukaryota; Metazoa; Mollusca; Bivalvia; Mytilida; Mytilidae. The record is from RNAcentral.